GUUAAGGCAUGACGGCCUGUACCCGAAACCGACACAGGUGGGGUGGUAGAGAAUACCGAGGGGCGCGAGGUAACUCUCUCUAAGGAACUCGGCAAAAUGGCCCCGUAACUUCGGGAGAAGGGGUGCCACCGCAAGGUGGUCGCAGUGAAGAGGCCCAGGCGACUGUUUACCAAAAACACAGGUCUCCGCUAAGUCGCAAGACGAUGUAUGGGGGCUGACGCCUGCCCAGUGCCGGAAGGUUAAGGAAGCUGGUCAGCGUAAGCGAAGCUAGCGACUGAAGCCCCGGUGAACGGCGGCCGUAACUAUAACGGUCCUAAGGUAGCGAAAUUCCUUGUCGGGUAAGUUCCGACCCGCACGAAAGGCGUAACGAUCUGGGCGCUGUCUCGGAGAGAGGCUCGGCGAAGUAGAAUUGUCUGUGAAGAUGCGGACUACGUGCACCCGGACAGAAAGACCCUAUGAAGCUUUACUGUAGCUUGGUAUUGUGCCCGGGCUCUGAAUGCGCAGGAUAGGUGGGAGGCUUUGAUCCAUUGCUUGUGGGUGAUGGUGAGCCACUGGUGAGAUACCACUCUUUCAGAGCUAGGGUUCUAACGGUCACCCGUUAUCCGGGGACCGGACAGUAUCAGGUGGGCAAUUUGACUGGGGCGGUCGCCUCCUAAAAGGUAACGGAGGCGCGCAAAGGUUCCCUCAGGCUGGUUGGAAAUCAGCCGACGAGUGUAAAGGCAGAAGGGAGCUUGACUGUGAGACCUACAAGUCGAACAGGGACGAAAGUCGGCCUUAGUGAUCCGACGGUUCUGAGUGGAAGGGCCGUCGCUCAACGGAUAAAAGUUACUCUAGGAUAACAGGCUGAUCUCCCCCAAGAGUUCACAUCGACGGGGAGGUUUGGCACCUCGAUGUCGGCUCAUCGCAACCUGGGGCUGAAGUCGGUCCCAAGGGUUGGGCUGUUCGCCCAUUAAAGCGGUACGCGAGCUGGGUUCAGAACGUCGUGAGACAGUUCGGUCCAUAUCCGGUGCACGCGCAGGAACAUUGAGAGGAUUUCUCCCUAGUACGAGAGGACCGGGAGGAACGCACCUCUGGUGUACCAGUUAUCGUGCCAACGGUAAACGCUGGGUAGCCAUGUGCGGAGUGGAUAACCGCUGAAAGCAUCUAAGUGGGAAGCCCACCUCACGAUUAGUGUUCCCAUGGCAGAAGCCAGUAAGGUCACGGGAAGAACACCCGUUGAUAGGCUCUACGUGGAAGCGUGGCAACGCGUGAAGCGGAGGAGUACUAAUAGACCGAGGGCUUG
RNAcentral lists this ribosomal RNA (1282 nucleotides) under metagenome. RNAcentral describes it as "bacterial LSU rRNA". It matches the Rfam family "Bacterial large subunit ribosomal RNA", at positions 1626 to 2925 of the family's 2925-position model. The record is from RNAcentral.